This 253-nucleotide ribosomal RNA is filed under the name uncultured bacterium. RNAcentral describes it as "partial 16S ribosomal RNA". It matches the Rfam family "Bacterial small subunit ribosomal RNA", at positions 524 to 776 of the family's 1533-position model. The record is from RNAcentral.
UACGGAGGGUGCAAGCGUUAUCCGGAUUUACUGGGUUUAAAGGGUGCGUAGGUGGGUCUGUAAGUCAGUGGUGAAAUCUCCGGGCUUAACCCGGAAACUGCCAUUGAUACUAUAGGUCUUGAAUAUCCUGGAGGUGAGCGGAAUAUGUCAUGUAGAGGUGAAAUGCUUAGAUAUGACAUAGAACACCAAUUGCGAAGGCAGCUCACUACGGGAUUAUUGACACUGAGGCACGAAAGCGUGGGGAUCAAACAGG